RNAcentral lists this ribosomal RNA (643 nucleotides) under uncultured bacterium. RNAcentral describes it as "bacterial SSU rRNA". It matches the Rfam family "Bacterial small subunit ribosomal RNA", at positions 232 to 885 of the family's 1533-position model. The record is from RNAcentral.
CGCGGCCUAUCAGCUUGUUGGUGGGGUGAUGGCCUACCAAGGCGACGACGGGUAGCCGGCCUGAGAGGGUGUCCGGCCACACUGGGACUGAGAUACGGCCCAGACUCCUACGGGAGGCAGCAGUGGGGAAUAUUGCACAAUGGGCGCAAGCCUGAUGCAGCGACGCCGCGUGAGGGAUGACGGCCUUCGGGUUGUAAACCUCUUUCAGUAUCGACGAAGCGCAAGUGACGGUAGGUACAGAAGAAGCACCGGCCAACUACGUGCCAGCAGCCGCGGUAAUACGUAGGGUGCGAGCGUUGUCCGGAAUUACUGGGCGUAAAGAGCUCGUAGGUGGUUUGUCGCGUUGUUCGUGAAAACUCACAGCUCAACUGUGGGCGUGCGGGCGAUACGGGCAGACUGGAGUACUGCAGGGGAGACUGGAAUUCCUGGUGUAGCGGUGGAAUGCGCAGAUAUCAGGAGGAACACCGGUGGCGAAGGCGGGUCUCUGGGCAGUAACUGACGCUGAGGAGCGAAAGCGUGGGGAGCGAACAGGAUUAGAUACCCUGGUAGUCCACGCCGUAAACGGUGGGUACUAGGUGUGGGUUUCCUUCCUUGGGAUCCGUGCCGUAGCUAACGCAUUAAGUACCCCGCCUGGGGAGUACGG